CUACUUACAUGGCAGGGGAGACACCAUGAUCACGCAGGUGAUUUUUUUCCAGGGCGAGGCUUUUAUUGCUCUGCAGAUGUGCUAACCCCUGUGAUUUCCCCAAAUGUGGGAAACUCGACUGUAUUAAUAUGCAGUAGUGGGGAAUUGCAUUUGCAUGCUCCCCU
Molecule: small nuclear RNA, 164 nt
Organism: Lepus europaeus (European hare)
Lineage: Eukaryota; Metazoa; Chordata; Mammalia; Lagomorpha; Leporidae
Product: U1 spliceosomal RNA
Exons: 1
Source: RefSeq, a predicted model, not a curated record